This 189-nucleotide ribosomal RNA is filed under the name uncultured bacterium. Its description in RNAcentral is "partial 16S ribosomal RNA". It matches the Rfam family "Bacterial small subunit ribosomal RNA", at positions 338 to 524 of the family's 1533-position model. The record is from RNAcentral.
CCUACGGGAGGCAGCAGUGGGGAAUAUUGCACAAUGGGGGAAACCCUGAUGCAGCCAUGCCGCGUGCAGGAAGACGGUCCUAUGGAUUGUAAACUGCUUUUAUACAGGAAGAAACCUCCCUACGUGUAGGGACUUGACGGUACUGUAGGAAUAAGGAUCGGCUAACUCCGUGCCAGCAGCCGCGGUAAU